CAAGUCUCAGAACUGGAGGAGCAGGCAGUUUUACAAGUUUUACGCCCCUGUUGUUCCUGAUGCGUCCAGUGGGGGAGGCUGGACAGUGUGAGCCUGAGCCAUCAGAACAGACCAGUCUAGAAGCCACACGAAUAUGAGAGAUUGGAAAUGCCUGAAUGAAUCUCAUCUAUGAAGAGGCUCGAGCACAUAAAUUACCUGGUUUUGGAGAUGACCAGCACAUCUUGAGGUCCACAGCCAAGAGACGAUUGCAACGUUCCUAUGGCAUAGACAGUAUGCUCUCCAAUCAGGGUAUCUUCCGUUCAAUCGCUUUUUAAUUGAAAUCUGAAUAAUAAAAAAAGGCACAUUUUUAAGAAUCGUUAAGAAGCCAUAGAAGGGGAGGACUAUUAUUAUGUUGUAAUGUUUGGUUGACCAAUCAGCGGAGAGGGGCGUUUCAUUCCCGCCCAUAUGUAGAGAUUGAAUAUUCAAGUUGUUUGUUCAUUUUCUAUCCCCGAAUGUAAAAACAAAAAAAUGAAGCGAGUUCUUGAUUUUUCAUUUUGUCAUUAAUAUUAAAUAAAAAAAUUAUUGAACGGAAGAUACCCUGUGCUGAACACUCCAGUCAAUUUCCCUCAGAAUCCAUGAUGCCAUGUGUCUAAACAGGAUGUCCAGGACCUCCAGCAGAAAUAUAGACCCACAACAUCAAAAAUACAGCAGUAUAUUUCAUUGUACACAUGGGAUACUUUUUAUCCCUGUGUUCACCAAACCCAUCUUGAGUGUUUGCUGCUAAAAAGCUCAUUUUUUAGUUUCAUCUGACCAUAGAAGCCAGUCCCAUUUGAAGUUCCAGUCGUGUCUGAUAACUGAAUAUGCUGGAGUUUGUUUUUGGAUGAGCGACGAGAAUUUUUCUUGAAACCCUCCCAAACAACUUUUUUUUUAAAGGUUUUCUGACCCAGAGAGUCAACUAUUUUCUGCAAUUCUCCAGCUGUGGUCAUUGGAGAGUGUUUAGCCACUCAAACUCUCUUUCUCACCAUGCAUUAGGACGAUAUAGACACACAUCCUCUUCCAGGCAGUUUCAUAACAUUUUAUGUUGAUUGGAAAUUCUUAAUUAUUGCCCUGAUGGUGGAAAUGGGAAUUUUCACUGCUCUAGCUCUUUUCUUAAAGCCACUUCACUAAUUUGUGAAGCUCAAUCAUCUUUUGCUGCACAUCAGAAAUAUAUUCUUUGGUUUUUCUCAUUGUGAUGGAUGAUUAAGGGAAUUUGGGCUUUGUUUUCCCUCCUAUUUAUAUUUCUGUGAAACAGGAAGCCAUGGCUGGAUCAUUUCAUGUUCAUAAUCACCCUGGAGUGCUCAAAAUUGUGAAUAUGAAUGGGAAUAUAUUUCAUAUAUAUUUUAGAUUUUUGUGAUUUUUAAGAUCAAAAGGAUUAA
This is a long non-coding RNA of Onychostoma macrolepis, 1394 nucleotides long. RefSeq lists it as uncharacterized. NCBI's taxonomy places the organism in Eukaryota, Metazoa, Chordata, Actinopteri, Cypriniformes, Cyprinidae. The record is from RefSeq and is a predicted model, not a curated record. The transcript has 3 exons.